AGAAGGAAGCUUGCUUCUUUCAAAUCUAGUGGCAAACGGGUGAGUAACACGUAAANAACCUGCCUUCAGGAUGGGGACAACAGACGGAAACGACUGCUAAUACCGAAUACGUCCUUAGGUCGCAUGACUUUAGGAAGAAAAGGGUGGCCUCUACUUGUAAGCUAUCGCCUGAAGAGGGGUUUGCGUCUGAUUAGGUAGUUGGUGAGGUAACGGCCCACCAAGCCGACGAUCAGUAGCCGGUCUGAGAGGAUGAACGGCCACAUUGGGACUGAGAUACGGCCCAGACUCCUACGGGAGGCAGCAGUGGGGAAUAUUGCACAAUGGGGGGAACCCUGAUGCAGCGACGCCGCGUGGAGGAAGAAGGUCUUCGGAUUGUAAACUCCUGUUGUUGGGGAAGAUAAUGACGGUACCCAACAAGGAAGUGACGGCUAACUACGUG
RNAcentral lists this ribosomal RNA (439 nucleotides) under uncultured bacterium. RNAcentral describes it as "bacterial SSU rRNA". It matches the Rfam family "Bacterial small subunit ribosomal RNA", at positions 70 to 507 of the family's 1533-position model. The record is from RNAcentral.